GAAACGACUGCUAAGACUGGAUAGGAAACAAAAAGGCAUCUUUUUGUUUUUAAAAGACCUUCUUAUGAAGGUAUGCUUAAAGAGGGGCUUGCGCCACAUUAGUUAGUUGGUAGGGUAAAAGCCUACCAAGACGAUGAUGUGUAGCUGGACUGAGAGGUUGAACAGCCACAUUGGGACUGAGACACGGCCCAAACUCCUACGGGAGGCAGCAGUAGGGAAUUUUCGGCAAUGGAGGAAACUCUGACCGAGCAACGCCGCGUGAACGAUGAAGUAUUUCGGUAUGUAAAGUUCUUUUAUUGAAGAAGAAAAAGUAGUGGAAAAACUAUAUUGACGUUAUUCAAUGAAUAAGCCCCGGCUAACUAUGUGCCAGCAGCCGCGGUAAGACAUAGGGGGCGAGCGUUAUCCGGAAUUAUUGGGCGUAAAGGGUGCGUAGGCUGUUAGAUAAGUCUAUAAUUUAAUUUCAGUGCUUAACGCUGUCUUGUUAUAGAAACUGUCUUGACUAGAGUGAGAUAGAGGCAAGCGGAAUUCCAUGUGUAGCGGUAAAAUGUGUAAAUAUAUGGAGGAACACCAGAAGCGUAGGCGGCUUGCUGGGUCUUUACUGACGCUGAGGCACGAAAGCGUGGGUAGCAAACAGGAUUAGAUACCCUGGUAGUCCACGCCGUAAACGAUGAGUACUAAGUGUCGGGGUAAAACUCGGUACUGAAGUUAACACAUUAAGUACUCCGCCUGAGUAGUACGUACGCAAGUAUGAAACUUAAAGGAAUUGACGGGACUCCGCACAAGCGGUGGAUCAUGUUGUUUAAUUCGAAGAUACACGAAAAAUCUUACCAGGUCUUGACAUACUCUGCAAAGCUAUAGAAAUAUAGUGGAGGUUAUCAGGGAUACAGGUGGUGCAUGGUUGUCGUCAGUUCGUGUCGUGAGAUGUUAGGUUAAGUCCUAAAACGAGCGCAACCCUUGUCGUUAAUUGCCAGCACGUAAUGGUGGGGACUUUAGCGAGACUGCCAAUUAAACAUUGGGGGAAGGUGAGGAUUACGUCAAAUCAUCAUGCCCCUUAUGAUCUGGGCUACAAACGUGAUACAAUGGCUGUGACAAAGAGUAGCUGAAACGCGAGUUUUUAGCCAAUCUCAAAAAAGCAGUCUCAGUUCGGAUUGAAGUCUGUAACUCGACUUCAUGAAGUUGGAAUCGCUAGUAAUCGCGAAUCAGCAUGCCGCGGUGAAUACGUUCACGGGGUUUGUACACACCGCCCGUCA
Molecule: ribosomal RNA, 1250 nt
Filed under: Willow proliferation phytoplasma
Lineage: Bacteria; Bacillati; Mycoplasmatota; Mollicutes; Acholeplasmatales; Acholeplasmataceae
Description: bacterial SSU rRNA
Rfam family: Bacterial small subunit ribosomal RNA
Source: RNAcentral